RNAcentral lists this ribosomal RNA (216 nucleotides) under Glomeromycotina sp. RNAcentral describes it as "partial small subunit ribosomal RNA". The stretch from base 40 to 216 matches the Rfam family "Eukaryotic small subunit ribosomal RNA", at positions 686 to 864 of the family's 1831-position model. The record is from RNAcentral. Lineage: Eukaryota; Fungi; Glomeromycota.
GGGUCAGUAGGUUGGUCGUGCCACCGGUACGUAGUGGUCUCACUGAUUCCUCCUUCCUGAAUAACCGUAAUGCCAUUAAUUUGGUGUUGCGGGGAAACAGGACUGUUACUUUGAAAAAAUUAGUGUGUUUAAAGCAAGCUAACGCUUGAAUACAUUAGCAUGGAAUAAUGAAAUAGGACGAUCGAUCCUAUUUUGUUGGUUUCUAGGAUUAACGUA